UUAAGUUCAGCGGGUAGUCCUACCUGAUUUGAGGCCAGAUCAUAAAAGGGGUUUAGUAGAGCAAGCUCUAUCUAAGAAUUAGAAGCGGAUCUAAAGACUUUCUUUAUCUCGGCCAUCCGUUAAGAUGUCCUCGGCGAAAUACUUAUCACGUCGAGUGGAACCGAUUACAAAAAGGAUCUGCUGAUUCAUUUCAAGCGAGC
RNAcentral lists this unclassified non-coding RNA (200 nucleotides) under uncultured Cystofilobasidiales. Its description in RNAcentral is "sequence contains ITS2". The record is from RNAcentral. Lineage: Eukaryota; Fungi; Basidiomycota; Tremellomycetes; Cystofilobasidiales.